This 872-nucleotide ribosomal RNA is filed under the name uncultured bacterium. RNAcentral's name for it is "bacterial SSU rRNA". It matches the Rfam family "Bacterial small subunit ribosomal RNA", at positions 9 to 873 of the family's 1533-position model. The record is from RNAcentral.
AGAGUUUUGAUCAUGGNUCAGAUUGAACGCUGGCGGAAUNCUUACACAUGCAAGUCGAACGGCAGCACGGGAGCAAUCCUGGUGGCGAGUGGCGAACGGGUGAGUAAUACAUCGGAACGUGCCCAAUCGUGGGGGAUAACGUAGCGAAAGCUACGCUAAUACCGCAUACGAUCUACGGAUGAAAGCAGGGGAUCGCAAGACCUUGCGCGAAUGGAGCGGCCGAUGGCAGAUUAGGUAGUUGGUGGGGUAAAGGCUCACCAAGCCUUCGAUCUGUAGCUGGUCUGAGAGGACGACCAGCCACACUGGGACUGAGACACGGCCCAGACUCCUACGGGAGGCAGCAGUGGGGAAUUUUGGACAAUGGGCGCAAGCCUGAUCCAGCCAUUCCGCGUGCAGGAUGAAGGCCUUCGGGUUGUAAACUGCUUUUGUACGGAACGAAAAGCCUUUUUCUAAUACAGGAAGGUCAUGACGGUACCGUAAGAAUAAGCACCGGCUAACUACGUGCCAGCAGCCGCGGUAAUACGUAGGGUGCAAGCGUUAAUCGGAAUUACUGGGCGUAAAGCGUGCGCAGGCGGUGAUGUAAGACAGAUGUGAAAUCCCCGGGCUCAACCUGGGAACUGCAUUUGUGACUGCAUCGCUGGAGUGCGGCAGAGGGGGAUGGAAUUCCGCGUGUAGCAGUGAAAUGCGUAGAUAUGCGGAGGAACACCGAUGGCGAAGGCAAUCCCCUGGGCCUGCACUGACGCUCAUGCACGAAAGCGUGGGGAGCAAACAGGAUUAGAUACCCUGGUAGUCCACGCCCUAAACGAUGUCAACUGGUUGUUGGGUCUUCACUGACUCAGUAACGAAGCUAACCGCGUGAAGUGACCGCCUGG